This 254-nucleotide ribosomal RNA is filed under the name uncultured bacterium. RNAcentral describes it as "partial 16S ribosomal RNA". It matches the Rfam family "Bacterial small subunit ribosomal RNA", at positions 524 to 776 of the family's 1533-position model. The record is from RNAcentral.
UACAGAGGGUGCAAGCGUUGUUCGGAAUUAUUGGGCGUAAAGGGCGCGUAGGCGGUGCCACAAGUCACCUGUGAAAUCUCCGGGCUUAACUCGGAGCCUGCAGGCGAAACUGUGGUGCUGGAGUGUGGGAGAGGUGCGUGGAAUUCCUGGUGUAGCGGUGAAAUGCGCAGAUAUCAGGAGGAACACCGGUGGCGAAGGCGGGUCUCUGGGCCGAUACUGACGCUGGAGGAGCGAAAGCGUGGGGAGCGAACAGG